CUUGCAAUGACUUCUCUUCUCUUCUCUGAUGACGUGUUUACUAGAGCGAGAGCGGCACAACCUGUCAAUCACAUGACAUUACAGCAAUAGGCGAGUUUUACUCGAAUAUACAUCACAAAAAGGAAGAAAAGACUUUCUUCUGUUUCAUGUCAACUCUAAGGUCUGAUGUCACACGUUUUUGUUUUCACACAUUUUUUUCACACAUUGAAGUCUGUCACUAGCUUUAAAAAGAAGACGAGUGCUGACUACAUCUACAACGAACAAGAUCAUUUAAUGUUUGACGGUUAAAGAGCAGAAAUGUCUGAUGGUAUUUAUGAAGAUGUGAUCAGGACUGAGUCUAAGAGAAUUAACACAGAGAGAAUGGAGAUGAUAGUGGAAAUCUAUGAGAGUGCAGAACAUGUGAGAGAUCAUGACUUCAGGACAGAGACAAACACACACCAACCACUUCAGCGUACAGAAAGUGAUUGUGUGAAGAUCAGAAGCUCCAGAGCAGCUGCAGUGUGUUUGGUGCUGCUGUGUGUUCUUCUGCUGACUGCAGUCAUAGUGCUGUGUGUCACGUUCACUCUAGAGAGACGACAGUUAAUAUCCAAGAA
Megalobrama amblycephala (Wuchang bream) is the source of this 593-nucleotide long non-coding RNA. RefSeq lists it as uncharacterized. Lineage: Eukaryota; Metazoa; Chordata; Actinopteri; Cypriniformes; Xenocyprididae. The transcript is spliced from 2 exons. The record is from RefSeq and is a predicted model, not a curated record.